RNAcentral lists this long non-coding RNA (559 nucleotides) under Chinchilla lanigera (long-tailed chinchilla). RNAcentral's name for it is "lncRNA (ENSCLAG00000029187.1)". The record is from RNAcentral. Lineage: Eukaryota; Metazoa; Chordata; Mammalia; Rodentia; Chinchillidae.
AGUAGUACCUCUCUGUGUGUAAAUAUCACACUUUCUUUACCCAUUCAUCUGUUAGAAGGUGGCUAUCUUGAUUUUUAAAAAAAAUUUUUUUUUUUUUUUUGGCUAUCUUGAUUUGUGGAUGUCUAAGUUUUAGAACCAUGAGGGCCAGUGAGCUGAAGACACAAAGACAAAUUUGGAGACAAAGGAGGCAUGAUGUAGCUGAAUAUAAUAUCCUGUAUGAUGGUGAUAUAGAAACUUCACUUGGACUAAAGCAAGGAAUGGAGCUGAUUCUAAUAUGUAUCUUCAAAGAAAGACUAUAAAGGUGAAUUCUGGGUUUUAUCUAUCCUGGGUCUUAAAACUUUGUUUAAUUUUGCUUCCCUGGUUAUUGAAAUACAAGUAAAGAUUUUUUUCCAGGUUAAUACUGCAUAGCAGUUGGAAGGGACUUACAGAGAACAUGAAAUGGCAAUGAGGAUUAGGAGACAUAGCUACCACGUUUCCAGAAGCAUGAACUGCAUUGUCUACUUAGUUAUUUUCUUGUCUUUUAACACAUACAUUUAUAUUUUAAUGAAUUUCCUUUUUU